UUAGAAGGAAGGGGAGAUACUCCCAGGGGCUUGGAAGGACUUGGAUGGGAAUGUGAGGCCUGGGGGGAUUCUCUAACCUCAAGAUCGCCAAUGCAACUUGUCCCAGCAGGCCCAGUCUAAGAAAGGCACAGACCUCCUUGGAAGGAGUGAAUAACUUUGCUUGAUUGAGGGUGUUUCAAGGGAUUCAUAUCUCAGGGAUAUUUUCUCAAACAACCUGAGCUACAUAGUCAAUCUUGCGUCUUAGAAGAAAAUCAGAAGUUGAGCUUAAAGGGUCGUGAUGGGACUAUCAGAGCUGAUCUGCAAAGAAUGAAGAAUUUCUUUGGGGUAGAGAAACGGAAAUGCCUCAGGCCUCUGUCCCAAUAGCAGAAUCCUAUGUUUGUUUGUGGAUGAGAAUCUGUUAUAUAGGAGAUGACUCUGGUGGUUUGCCGUGGAAAUUUGCACAAUUUCUAUUUUGAAAAACAUGCCAGUCUUAUUAACUAGAGGAUACUUGGAUAUCUGUCACAGAAAUGAAAUUGCCUUACCAUUACUUGAGUAUAUUCUGCUUUGCCAAGAUACUACUGUGUCAUAACUCCCGGCUCUUCCUUACCAUAUUCUGGGGCAUGAUUUUUAUACUGUCCUCACCUCUGCUGGUGAGCUCCAACACCAAACUUCAUUAAAGUUAGUUUAUGAAUUAAACUUCAUUGCUUAACCACCAGAUCUCUACCUCCAUAGUCAUAAACGAUCAGCAAGUACUUGCAGUUGUCUAGUUUUAUGUACAGAACUGUACUGGGUACCAUAUAGAAUGCCAAAGGAUAAUUUAUGCUCUUUCAGAUUAAGAAUUUUGUAAUAUUAUAGGGGAAGGAGGGUCACAGAAUAUAAUAUGCGAAACCAAUAGCAAACUACAGAAUCAAAGCAAUGUAGUGUUAUGGAAAUAGAACUUAAGACAGUGCCUAGCUUUAAAAUCUUGCUAUGUAACUCAGUACUUGUGAAAUUGUUAGGCAGAAAGACUGAAAUGAGCAGGAUGAAAAGGGCCCCCCAAAGAUGACUCAGGGAGUUGAUCAGGUGGAACCAGAAAGCCAGAAAUGACUCAGAGAGUUAAUCAGAUGAAGCCACAGGGUCCAGGGUCCCCCAGGUAAGAAAUAUCACAGGUGCAUGCACAGUACAGCCCCUGUCCUCAUUUCACCAAUCAGAACAAGCCCAGAGAGCUGACGGCUGUCAAUCAAGGACCUCUCUGCUCUGCCAAAAACCACAUAAAAGAAGCCUCAGAAUGAGUAUCGAGGCCUGCCUGAGAUGGGCCACUCGAGUGUAUUAAAACUUGCUUUGCUUUCUUGA
Molecule: long non-coding RNA, 1311 nt
Organism: Manis javanica (Malayan pangolin)
Lineage: Eukaryota; Metazoa; Chordata; Mammalia; Pholidota; Manidae
Source: RefSeq, a predicted model, not a curated record